Long non-coding RNA from Bradysia coprophila, 89 nucleotides. The record is from RefSeq and is a predicted model, not a curated record. Lineage: Eukaryota; Metazoa; Arthropoda; Insecta; Diptera; Sciaridae.
AUUUAUAUGACGAAACUGUAAAAUCAGUGAAAUUCAGCCACUGAAGAUGCCAUCCAAUGUGAUGCGCGAAAUAUUUGGCAGAAAAUAAA